GACGAACGCUGGCGGCGUGCCUAACACAUGCAAGUCGAACGGAGAUACACGUCGGGAUGGAAUCAGCUUGCUGAGGAAAUUCUUGUGUAUUUCAGUGGCGGACGGGUGAGUAACGCGUGAGUAACCUGCCUUUCAGAGGGGGAUAACGUUUUGAAAAGAACGCUAAUACCGCAUAACACUGUGGGAUCGCAUGAUCCUAUGGUCAAAGGAGCAAUCCGCUGAGAGAUGGACUCGCGUCCGAUUAGAUAGUUGGUGGGGUAAAGGCCCACCAAGUCGACGAUCGGUAGCCGGACUGAGAGGUUGAACGGCCACAUUGGGACUGAGACACGGCCCAGACUCCUACGGGAGGCAGCAGUGAGGAAUAUUGGGCAAUGGGGGAAACCCUGACCCAGCAACGCCGCGUGAGGGAAGACGGUUUUCGGAUUGUAAACCUCUGUCCUCUGUGAAGAACAAUGACGGUAGCAGAGGAGGAAGCUCCGGCUAACUACGUGCCAGCCGCCGCCGUAAAAC
This 510-nucleotide ribosomal RNA is filed under the name uncultured bacterium. RNAcentral describes it as "bacterial SSU rRNA". It matches the Rfam family "Bacterial small subunit ribosomal RNA", at positions 28 to 526 of the family's 1533-position model. The record is from RNAcentral.